Molecule: long non-coding RNA, 836 nt
Organism: Belonocnema kinseyi
Lineage: Eukaryota; Metazoa; Arthropoda; Insecta; Hymenoptera; Cynipidae
Exons: 3
Source: RefSeq, a predicted model, not a curated record
AUAUAACUAUACAAAUUACCCAAAUCGGGAUAAACCUUUUAUUUCUACAUAUGAUCUUUACUUUAUAUGAAGACAUCAGAAGGACAAUUGGGUGAGGACCAUAACUGAAAUUUAGCAGAAAUUGUUCACAAUAUUGUUGAAUUUUUAUACUAAAAUAUGCAUAUUUGCAUCGUAGUUUCAAAAUGUUUUUGACUUCCCAAAACAUCAAGGCAUCUUCAUUUCGAGCUGAGUCAGCACCUGGAGCCAUGGUGGACCCGCAAACUAACGCGCAGACUGUCACACCAUUACAAAACAAAUUAUGAAGCGAAUGGCACAAGACUAUUGUAAGCAGACGGGGAAAGAUUGUAUUUAUUGAUACGAAAUUCAGAAAUCUCUAUCAAUCAGGAACCUCGAGUUAACGAAAAUGAAGAUCCCUGUUGGUGCUUCUCUCCUCACUCUAGCGAUUUACUUCAGUUUCGUUGCGCGGUUACGCCACGCAUAACCUAUACUCUGAGCGACUGAAACCGAACUGAAGCGGAAGUCCUGCGACAUUUUUUCCACUAACUUAGGGUGACCAUAUGUCAAAGAGGGAAAACCGGGAUAUUUCUCAUCGAAAACCGGGACAAUCCCGAACACUUCCCCCACUCCUCGCCCAAUCAUUAUUAACCGCGUUCACAUAGAAGUGGAGAGUGUAACGUAACGUUACGUAAUGGUCAGUAACAGGAGGUUUUUGACCCUAAACCUUCUGUUAUAUACCAUUCGAGAAUAUAUACCAUCCGAGAAUUUACACUGACGUUUCGGCAUUCUUCUCACGUGCGGAGGUGCAGUUUAAAAAACUAAGUAACCUAAAGAGUAAA